This is a long non-coding RNA of Lathyrus oleraceus (garden pea), 717 nucleotides long. RefSeq lists it as uncharacterized. NCBI's taxonomy places the organism in Eukaryota, Viridiplantae, Streptophyta, Magnoliopsida, Fabales, Fabaceae. The record is from RefSeq and is a predicted model, not a curated record. The transcript has 2 exons.
AGUCAUACAUAUUUUAAUUUCUAAGGUGGAUAGAUUUUACUUUUCUAAAUGAAAGGGGAAGUUGAUAACCAAAAUUGACUUUUGAGAAAAAGUAGAUCAGUAGACAAAUAGGACACGAUUAUCAAUAAUAUAGAGAACAAUAUGCACCUGGGCCUGCAACUCUCUGGCCGCGAAGUCCAUCAAGCCGCCUAAGAGUCUUCUCUUAAAUAUAGGUAUUAAAAAGCCAUUCAUAUUUCUGACUACAGAAAAUCAAGUAUGAGAUGGUGUAAAAGACACCUACUCUGAUAUUCAAAAUUCUUCUCUGGUCUAUGGUCCGAAGUCAAAGUUGUGAAACUCAAAACAAGAUGAGAAGGAUGUGAUGUGACUAUCUACUAUAAUGAAUUGACAAGAGUUGGAUGUGUGUUAUGUGUUAUGAGGAUAACCGGAAGUAUACUUAAAACAGUGUCUUACUUUUUUCUACUGAAGUUCCAAAAUGCUUAUGGGGUGAGCGACAGCAUAAAAAUAUGAAAACGAGUUAGGUAAUGGACACAUUAGUAUCUCCCUCCGUCUAAAUCAUUAUGUAUUUUCUAUUUAGUUUUAAUUAUUUAGAACAUUUAUUAUAUGGCCAAUGCUUUGAUAUUUUGGUUUGUAUUUUAAUAUUUGAAAUGUAUGAUUGAAAUUUUUCAUGAUUGUUUUACUUUAUUAUUUGUAAUGUAAUUUAAUGUUGGGGAAAUGAAU